GGGCACCUCUUGAGUUUCAAUUGUUUCAUUAGAGCAGGAGUUACCACACAGAGUCCAUUCCUCAGCAGGAGCAACACAGACUGCUCUGUGAGGACUGCUUUCCUGGAACAGCAGCAGCAGUACACUGUCAGACCAAAGCUUUUCUCCUGUGAUGCAACAUUUCUAAGAAGUUCCUUUCGCCUCUCGGAUGGGAGCAGCCAGUCAUUCACUCCAACUCUUAAUUGCUGCUCUGCAAAAUCCCCAAAAGGAAUGUAACAACUUGUUUCUCACUGUGAAAAUGGGAGGUUCUCCACUGCAAGCUUUAAGCCUUCGGCUGAAUACCUGCUGAACAUCUGGCUUGGGAUCAAGGUUUGCUUUUAUUGUUGUCCAUGCCCUGCUACAACGGGUGGACACAUUGCUAGAUUAAUACUACCAACAGAAGCGGGGUGGAUAGACUCCCUUCCUUCCUCCUCUUACCCCCAGUAAAUGCAGCAGCUGCAGCCUGACAGAACACGCCAGUCUUUCAGAAAGACUCAGAUACCACAAGAAAAAGCCUCAAGCACAGCAUGGCCCCAUGGAAAGCAGAGAAAGGCUGCUGCGAGCAGCAUGGGACACGUGCCCCAGGAUGCACAGCUCAUGAGUGAGCAUACAUGUGCACGUGGGAAGCAUCUCUAAUCCCCUGAAUACUAAACGUGAACCCCUUUUAUCUGGUAUAUGCUUUGAUUUUCUUCCUAAGAAAUAGCAAGCAUGUAUGUUUGGCAUAAGAAAGCUUUCAUCAUGCGAGAUCCCCAAAGCACGCAAAAUGACGGUCCAGGCAUGCUAACUGCACCACAGGGCAAAUUUCUCUUUUCCAAACCUCAGCAAAAUUCAUACAUUCCUUCUAAAUCCAGUUGCAAACCGCUAUCCUGAAGGCACUAAUACUGAAUGCAGGUAUUGAUAGUGCCAAGCAGUAAAUCUGCACCCAUAAGGAGCACGUAGUUCAACCAGAGCCCACAGCAAGGGGAAGGUAACCAACCGACCAAAGGAAAAAGGAUGCACCUAGAGCAAACAAUUGCAAACCUUGUAGGGAGACACAGAUUAGCAGUCUAAUUAGAACCACCAGAUAACCACAUGUAAAAUAGGGUUUUUAGUGCAUUUUCAAAGCACUGUGACCGGAAGACACGUUACAUCCAUCUAAAAGGAUGAAUUCUGCUCUAG
Molecule: long non-coding RNA, 1176 nt
Filed under: Gallus gallus (chicken)
Lineage: Eukaryota; Metazoa; Chordata; Aves; Galliformes; Phasianidae
Description: long non-coding RNA NONGGAT005655
Source: RNAcentral